This 384-nucleotide ribosomal RNA is filed under the name uncultured Candidatus Caldiarchaeum sp. Its description in RNAcentral is "bacterial SSU rRNA". It matches the Rfam family "Archaeal small subunit ribosomal RNA", at positions 339 to 727 of the family's 1478-position model. The record is from RNAcentral. Lineage: Archaea; Thermoproteati; Nitrososphaerota; Candidatus Caldarchaeales; Candidatus Caldarchaeaceae.
GCGCGAAAACUCCCCAAUGCCCGAAAGGGUGAGGGGGUCACCUCGAGUGCCACUCUCGUGGUGGCUUUUGCGGGGUCUAAAAAGCCCCGCGAAUAAGGGGAGGGCAAGACGGGUGUCAGCCGCCGCGGUAAUACCCGCUCCCCGAGUGGUGGGGACUAUUACUGGGCUUAAAGCACCCGUAGCCAGCCAGAUGUGUCUCUCGUUAAAUCCACGGGCCUAACCCGUGGGCUGCGGGAGAUACUAUCUGGCUUGGGGAUGGGAGAGGGCGGCGGUAUUCCCAGGGUAGGGGUAAAAUCCACUGAUCCUGGGAGGACCACCAGUGGCGAAGGCGGCCGCCCAGAACAUGCCCGACGGUGAGGGGUGAAAGCUGGGGGAGCAAACGGG